RNAcentral lists this transfer RNA (73 nucleotides) under Alosa alosa (allis shad). Its description in RNAcentral is "tRNA-OTHER". Lineage: Eukaryota; Metazoa; Chordata; Actinopteri; Clupeiformes; Clupeidae. The record is from RNAcentral.
GUGGUGGUAGUGGAGUGGUUAAGGGGCUGGGCUAGCACCUGAGAAGUUGUGGGUUCAAUUCCCAGCCCCCACC